This 1193-nucleotide long non-coding RNA is filed under the name Daphnia magna. Its description in RNAcentral is "uncharacterized LOC123473710, transcript variant X3". Lineage: Eukaryota; Metazoa; Arthropoda; Branchiopoda; Diplostraca; Daphniidae. The record is from RNAcentral.
UUCAGAAGUUGCCCAACAUCUAUGGAAAAAUGACUUGAUUGAUGAACCAGCUAUAUUUAGCAGGUUGGCUUUAUUGGAGAACUGUUAAACAUUUGAUAUUCAUAAUGUUCGCAAGGCUUUUAAGAAAAUAGUUUUCAUUGCACUGGCGACAAUUCGGAAUGGCGAGGUGCGAAUGAAUCGGAUUAAAAGUCAGCGUGGAAAUGCAAUAGCUGGCAAGAAAUGAGAGGACGAUUGGUGAUGAGACAAUUUAUUCUAAUCGCUGUAACUCAUGGACACGUCGACAUUCGUGGUAAUCAAACUUAGAACGUCUGCAAUGCGAAAUUUUUCACCAAUAUAAAGGAAAGCUGCAAACAUAUUUUCAGCAUUUUUAAUAAAAAAAUAAGCGCGUUCAUUCCCUUCAACCAAUUGUCAACCCGAGGGCAAAUAAAUAAAAAAUGUCCGCUUAAAAUAAAUACUAUUUUCAAAAGAUUUUUGAAUUUUUAGCUCCGUAGGAACCUUCCAUACGUCACUUUUAUUGUAGCUGACAGUGACUGUAAUUAUGGCUUACUUAGCCCAUGCUUAUCCAGAGCUGCCUUCUUGAUCCCCGCCCUAAAAACUAUCAUCUUCAAAAGCUUCCAGGUUUGUUGUGGUCGUAGAACAGCAGACGACGAAGUUCAAAGCGGCAUUGUACCAUCGGGCAGAAUCCAAACGGUUGAUGCAUUGAAAAUGUCGGAGCUCUGUUGAUGAAUUUUCACCAGCACUCUUCCACAAGACGCGCGCGAAGCAAACGAUAGCAAAGGAGAUAUGGACUUGAAUUGGUUGUUUACCACCCGUGGCUUUCCCGCAUCCCAGGAUUAGUCUUGUACACCUUUUGCACUUGUACAGAGCGUUCGGGAACGAAAUUAGUUGUGGAUGGGUUUGCUGUUGACAAGCAAGGGAAGGAUUUUUACUACCAAACUAGAUAGGAAUGAAAUUUGUUGUGGCUGGUUUGGUUGUUGACAAGCAAGGGAAGGAUUUUUUUACCAAAGUAGACAGGAUAUUUAUUCUUAAUCCCACAAUGUCUUGACUACAAAUCAUGCUGAAUUAGAAUAGUAUGUUGAUCGAGGCUGGGUGCCAAAGCAAUGGAGGAUAAUUGUAAGCGCGAUUGGAAAUCUCCAUGAUUUAUUAACGUUCUCUCAUGUUACGGUAUUUUAUUAAAGACAAAUUGAAGUGUA